GGACGAACGCUGGCGGCGUGCUUAACACAUGCAAGUCGAGCGGUAAGGCCCUUCGGGUACGACGAGCGGCGAACGGGUGAGUAACACGUGGGUGACCUGCCUCUAGCUCUGGGAUAAGCCUGGGAAACUGGGUCUAAUACCGGAUAUGACUCCACGGCGCAUGUUGUGGGGUGGAAAGCCUUGUGUGGCUAGAGAUGGGCCCGCGGCCUAUCAGCUUGCUGGUGGGGGAUGGCCUACCAAGGCGACGACGGGUAGCCGGCCUGAGAGGGCGACCGGCCACACUGGGACUGAGACACGGCCCAGACUCCUACGGGAGGCAGCAGUGGGGAAUCUUGCGCAAUGGGCGAAAGCCUGACGCAGCGACGCCGCGUGAGGGAUGACGGCCUGGUGUAACGU
RNAcentral lists this ribosomal RNA (396 nucleotides) under uncultured bacterium. RNAcentral's name for it is "bacterial SSU rRNA". It matches the Rfam family "Bacterial small subunit ribosomal RNA", at positions 27 to 431 of the family's 1533-position model. The record is from RNAcentral.